GUGUCCCGCUGCGGGGAGAUGCUCCACAUCCGCUACCGGCUGCUCCGACAGGCGCUGGCCGAGUGCCUGGGGACCCUCAUCCUCGUGAUGUUUGGCUGUGGCUCCGUGGCCCAGGUUGUGCUCAGCCGGGGCACCCACGGUGGUUUCCUCACCAUCAACCUGGCCUUUGGCUUUGCUGUCACUCUGGGCAUCCUCAUCGCUGGCCAGGUCUCUGGGGCCCACCUGAACCCUGCCGUGACCUUUGCCAUGUGCUUCCUGGCUCGUGAGCCCUGGAUCAAGCUGCCCAUCUACACCCUGGCACAGACGCUGGGAGCCUUCUUGGGUGCUGGAAUAGUUUUUGGGCUGUAUUAUGGUAAGCAUUCCCCACCCUGUCCUCCUCCACUACCCCCGUCCCUCUGUUCAGGACCUGCUGGCACCAGGCCUUUUGAUGACAGACGGCUAGGGCCUGCCCAGGCCCCGGGCUCAUGACUCACUCAUUCACGCACAGGGCCAAGAUGCAAUCUGGCACUUUGGCGACAACCAGCUUUAUGUUUCGGGCCCCAAUGGCACAGCCGGCAUCUUUGCUACCUACCCCUCUGGACACUUGGAUAUGAUCAAUGGCUUCUUUGACCAGUUCAUAGGCACAGCCUCCCUUAUCGUGUGUGUGCUGGCCAUUGUUGACCCCUACAACAACCCCGUCCCCCGAGGCCUGGAGGCCUUCACCGUGGGCCUGGUGGUCCUGGUCAUUGGCACCUCCAUGGGCUUCAACUCC
This 751-nucleotide small RNA is filed under the name Pan troglodytes (chimpanzee). Its description in RNAcentral is "processed transcript". The record is from RNAcentral. Lineage: Eukaryota; Metazoa; Chordata; Mammalia; Primates; Hominidae.